This is a long non-coding RNA of Carya illinoinensis, 759 nucleotides long. RefSeq lists it as uncharacterized. The record is from RefSeq and is a predicted model, not a curated record. NCBI's taxonomy places the organism in Eukaryota, Viridiplantae, Streptophyta, Magnoliopsida, Fagales, Juglandaceae. The transcript has 3 exons.
AAACUCCCCCUUUUUUUGCUUUAGCCCUUAGGGUAAAAACAAACGAUUGUUACGAUUCCUUCAUCUCAGACAGUCAGACCUAGGGAGUUCUCUUGAAUCUCAUAUUCUCACUUCAUCUCUGAUUCUCUGCUGCCUCCCCUACACGUUGAUGUUGCCACUUUCCUGCACGCAUCGCCUCCCAUGCAGCCCCUCCCCUGAACGCAAACUGUGACCCUCUCUCACUUCUUAGCCCCUCCCCUGCAUGCGGCGCAACCCCUCACCCUCAGAUACUCAUCAUUGAUAUAAAGAUGGAUCCAUCAAAUGAAAUAGAAAUACUAGGCAAUGUUCAACCUUCAAUGGAAAGGACCAUGGAAUCAACAACGACUAAUGAUCUGCUUUCUCCCAAAUCUAAUAGCUCAUAGAAGACCUAUGGAGUUCUUCAAAACCUACUUCUUUAGUUGGAGAUGAUUAAAUUUAAGGGAAGACAACUUGCAUAACAUAUUUCCUUAAGGUUUUUUUUUUUUGUUUCAUUUAAUGUAAUCACUAAAUUUUUAUUGGAAUUAACUGCUUGAUUUAUUUUCAUAUAAUUGCAAGGUUUGUUAAAUGGAUUAUUGGAGUUGGUGGCUUGGUGCAUAACUAUUUGUUCUAGUUGUAAAGUUUUUUAUUGGAUGUUCUUGUUAUUUAGAUUUGUAAUUUAGACUUUUAAUUUGGACUUGUAAUUUGUUGGACUUUUGGUCCUUGGAUUAGGUUGCGUUUGGGUACUGAGAGUACCUCCCAACA